GACGAACGCUGGCGGCGUGCUUAACACAUGCAAGUCGAACGGAAAGGCCCUGCUUUUGUGGGGUGCUCGAGUGGCGAACGGGUGAGUAACACGUGAGUAACCUGCCCUUGACUUUGGGAUAACUUCAGGAAACUGGGGCUAAUACCGGAUAGGAGCUCCUGCUGCAUGGUGUGGGUUGGAAAGUUUCGGCGGUUGGGGAUGGACUCGCGGCUUAUCAGCUUGUUGGUGGGGUAGUGGCUUACCAAGGCUUUGACGGGUAGCCGGCCUGAGAGGGUGACCGGACACAUUGGGACUGAGAUACGGCCCAGACUCCUACGGGAGGCAGCAGUGGGGAAUAUUGCACAAUGGGCGGAAGCCUGAUGCAGAAACGCCGCGUGCGGGAUGACGGCCUUCGGGUUGUAAACCGCUUUAGCCUGUGACGAAGCGUGAGUGACGGUAAUGGGUAAAGAAGCACCGGCUAACUACGUG
RNAcentral lists this ribosomal RNA (468 nucleotides) under uncultured bacterium. RNAcentral's name for it is "partial 16S ribosomal RNA". It matches the Rfam family "Bacterial small subunit ribosomal RNA", at positions 28 to 507 of the family's 1533-position model. The record is from RNAcentral.